UGUUGUGUUUGUUGAUUGUAUUAAAUUGUGUUUAGAUAAAAAUAAAUUAUUCUACUCUUGGUCUGCAUUGUAAUUUAGUGUUAAAUUAUUAUUGUGAUUUGUGAUUUAAUCUAAUGCCAAAUCAUGAUUCUCUUGGCAGUUUCAACUCAAACUUACCAUAAGGAUUGUAAACGUAAAGAUGGUCAAUUCGUGAAAUAUUCAGAUAAAUGAUUUACUUCAAACUGGAUAACGGGAUUUCAAUAUUGUGAUUGAGGACCUUUUCCUUGUGGCAAAAAGCAUGCUUACAUAAAGACAGUAAACAAACAAAACAAUGAAGUUUUGUUGCUCUCUUGUUGGGAUUCAACUGGGAAUCCCCUGGAAAGAAGUAAACAAUCAUUUUUUAUACCUGAUGGCCACUAAAUAAUAAUGUUAAUAUAAUAAUUGCAUUAACAUUAGCGGUAGCAGCUUAUCUCGUCACUUGAAAAUGGAGAUGAUGAUGGUGAUGAUGAUAAGAUGAACCUGGUCAAGCAAAAAAUUCAUCACUCAGAGUCCACCCGUUUUACCAAAUUUUUCUUGCUAAUACCUUGAAGCUCAACCUUGAUUGUGUUCGUACCCAUCAUCAUCACCAUAACUGGACAACGAAUGGUUUGUGUUGGAAUUAAAAGGCAAAAGGUUGUUGAACAGAAAGUGAUAGUCAUUAGUACAAUGAUAAACGGAAUGGAUAAGGUUAAGGAACGCAAUCGAUAUUGACCUGAUAACAUUUCUGUUGUGUGAUGCUCUUUUUUUGAUCGUGUUAAUCAGGAAGAUGGAUUUGCCUUCCUUGAUUAUGCAAGUUACAAGAUGAUUGUCAUCACACGCAACAACCAUUCAAUCCACCCUCAGAAUCAUUGAAUAUUUGACCAAUCAUCAGCAUAGUUGAUUCUUGCUUUAUUCAAAUGACUUUCUUUUGAACAAGCUCUUGAACCUGUUGAGACUAUUGUUCUGGCUAUUAAAUUUAUAUUACAAUUUAGUUUUUUUUAAAGAAAUGAUGAUGACCAUAACAUUGAAUUCAAACGUGUCUGUCUGAAUGAUUACUUUGAUCAUUAAACUUGAUAGUUUGAAUCGUUAAUCUCUUCAAGCUGUGACUAAAGCGAUCUGAUAGGAAUUAUUGGAGUAAAUUGUUUAUCUUGCUAUUUUCCUGUUAUAAUUCAAAGUUAUCUUUGGAUCAGCCAAUAAAACCAUCCAUUACUCUAAUAAAUGAAUGAGAGUUGUUUACUUAUCGUCAGCAACUUGAUACAAUUAGAGCCCUCCCUUCAAAGAGAUCAAUGGCUAUGAUCAAAAUCAGCGUAAAAAUGAUAAGAUAAUAAUUUGCAAUAAAAACUAGUCUCAGUGUUUCCUCUGUUUCAGCUAGAGUUAUUGACGCAUAGAUUGUUGAAUACAUCAAAAUAUUAAAGUCGUAUUUGUGUUUUGUGCGUAAUUAUGGAGAUAUCAUUACACGGAAAGACAGUUUUGGUCACUGGAGCUUCAAGAGGAAUCGGUCGAGCUAUUACCGAGACUGUGGUCAAAGCCGGCGCAAGUAAAGUUUAUGCUGCUUGUAUUUUAAAAGACGAACUCAUCAAACUAUCCAAUGAAGUUCCCAAUGUUGUUCCAAUACAUAUUGAUCUGAGUAAAUGGUCAGAGACAGAAAGCAAAUUGAAGGAAUUAGAAGCUGUUGACUGUUUGGUUAAUAACGCUGGUGUCUUGUGGGUAACCGAACCAGGAUCAAUAACAGAGAAUGAUUUCGAUUCCAUUUUUGCUGUCAAUGUAAAAGCAGUUAUCAAUGUAACCCAGAUUAUAUCAGCUAAGAUGAUCGAGGCUGGUAAAAAAGGUUCAAUCGUGAAUUUGUCCAGUAUAACAGCUAAAAAGUCUUUUCCUCGAUUCAUGAUUUAUUGUACAUCUAAAGCAACUGUUGACCACAUAACCCACAAUUUCGCACUUGAAUUGGCUCCAAAAGGUAUUCGUGUAAAUGCCAUCAAUCCAUGGAUAGUUAAUACACAGAUGGGUAAUGCAGUGCCUAAAAAUGAAGCUGAAGCUGAAAUGUACCGUCAACACACACCACUGGGUAGAUUCAUUGAGACACCCGAGAUAGCAAAAGUUGUCCUGUUCCUUCUAAGUGAUUGGUCCUCAGCGAUUUGUGGUGUUACCUUACCUAUCGAUUGUGGAUUGAUUUUGUAACAAAUUGUUACAUUUGUUACAAAAGAAGCGUGGUGAAAAGAAUCAACCUUUUUCACUUGAUGCAUUUCAUCGGAUCAACAAGUUACUGUUGAAUUUAAGUAUGUGAUGAUCAAUAAUUGUUUUACUUGUUCUUUUGUAUCUGUUAGUCUGAUCUUUCUUCACAAAAGACAAUUCAAAUUGAAAUUCAAAACCUUUGCCUCUCUAUUGUGAUUAGAUUAUUUUCAAUAGUUUACAUUUUUGAAUGAUGAAUAAACUCGAUUCAAUAAUGCAUUUUUUAUCGAUAUUAACUUUUCAAAAGAGUAGUUUUGUUCAAAUCGAUAUUGAUUUUUUCUUGUAACUAAGGUUUUUCAAUUUAAUAAUAUCAAGGAUUCCAUUUUAUCUGAUUUUUAAUGUGAAUAAAGUCUUACUAUAA
RNA transcript from Tetranychus urticae (two-spotted spider mite), 2584 nucleotides. It is a transcript of the gene named L-xylulose reductase pseudogene, with no coding region annotated. Lineage: Eukaryota; Metazoa; Arthropoda; Arachnida; Trombidiformes; Tetranychidae. The record is from RefSeq and is a predicted model, not a curated record.